GAAUCAUUAAUGGAGCUGGUUACUCAUCACAAGACUCCCCGCCGGUGUGGGCUCGAAGCGUUUACCGAGCUCCUCGAGAUUUCAGUGGGACUCGGCUCCCUCCUAAAGAUACCUAAAGGAUCCAUAUGAACCUACCUAGAUUUUAAGAUUAUCAUCCUAGGCUCUGCUCUGUGGUUUAUAUUUAAAUCAGACCUGUUGGAUAGAUGAAGAAUAUUCCCUGAGUUUCUCCGUCUGUUGCCCAUGCCAACUGCUUCAAGAAUCGAUUGCUCUGCAUUUCAAUAACCAGAGAUGAAUGGAGGCAGAAGA
Molecule: long non-coding RNA, 306 nt
Organism: Podarcis muralis (Common wall lizard)
Lineage: Eukaryota; Metazoa; Chordata; Lepidosauria; Squamata; Lacertidae
Source: RefSeq, a predicted model, not a curated record